GAUGAACGCUGGCGGCGUGCCUAAUACAUGCAAGUCGAGCGAACAGACGAGGAGCUUGCUCCUCUGACGUUAGCGGCGGACGGGUGAGUAACACGUGGAUAACCUACCUAUAAGACUGGGAUAACUUCGGGAAACCGGAGCUAAUACCGGAUAAUAUAUUGAACCGCAUGGUUCAAUAGUGAAAGACGGUUUUGCUGUCACUUAUAGAUGGAUCCGCGCCGCAUUAGCCAGUUGGUAAGGUAACGGCUUACCAAGGCAACGAUGCGUAGCCGACCUGAGAGGGUGAUCGGCCACACUGGAACUGAGACACGGUCUAGACUCCUACGGGAGGCAGCAGUAGGGAAUCUUCCGCAAUGGGCGAAAGCCUGACGGAGCAACGCCGCGUGAGUGAUGAAGGUCUUCGGAUCGUAAAACUCUGUUAUUAGGGAAGAACAAAUGUGUAAGUAACUAUGCACGUCUUGACGGUACCUAAUCAGAAAGCCACGGCUAACUACGUG
Molecule: ribosomal RNA, 497 nt
Filed under: uncultured bacterium
Lineage: Bacteria
Description: partial 16S ribosomal RNA
Rfam family: Bacterial small subunit ribosomal RNA
Source: RNAcentral